Molecule: ribosomal RNA, 468 nt
Filed under: uncultured bacterium
Lineage: Bacteria
Description: partial 16S ribosomal RNA
Rfam family: Bacterial small subunit ribosomal RNA
Source: RNAcentral
GACGAACGCUGGCGGCGUGCUUAACACAUGCAAGUCGAACGGAAAGGUCCUGCUUUUGUGGGGUGCUCGAGUGGCGCACGGGUGAGUAACACGUGAGUAACCUGCCCUUGACUUUGGGAUAACUUCAGGAAACUGCGGCUAAUACCGGAUAGGAGCUCCUGCUGCAUGGUGGGGGUUGGAAAGUUUCGGCGGUUGGGGCUGGACUCGCGGCUUAUCAGCUUGUUGGUGGGGUAGUGGCUUACCCAGGCUUUGACGGGUAGCCGGCCUGAGAGGGUGACCGGCCACAUUGGGACUGAGAGGCGGCCCAGACGCCUACGGGAGGCAGCAGGGGGGAAGAUUGCACAAUGGGCGGAAGCCUGAUGCAGCAGCGCCGCGUGCGGGAAGACGGCCUUCGUGUUGUAAACCGCUUUCGCCUGUGACGAAGCGUGAGUGACGGUAAUGGGUAAAGAAGCACCGGCUAACUACGUG